Molecule: ribosomal RNA, 835 nt
Filed under: uncultured Nitrospirota bacterium
Lineage: Bacteria; Pseudomonadati; Nitrospirota
Description: bacterial SSU rRNA
Rfam family: Bacterial small subunit ribosomal RNA
Source: RNAcentral
AAGUUUGAUCAUGGCUCAGAGUGAACGCUGGCGGCGUGUCUUAGGCAUGCAAGUCGAGCGUCCUAGGGGGUCUCUCCUAGGAUAGCGGCGAACGGGUGAGUAAUACUUGGAUAACGUACCCUAGGUGUGGGAUAGCUCCGGGAAACUGGAGGUAAUCCCACAUAAUAUCCCUAGUCUGGGAUUAGGGAUUAAAGGCGCGAGUCGCCUAGGGAUCGGUCCAAGGCCUAUCAGCUAGUUGUAGGGUAACGGCCUACCAAGGCUAUGACGGGUAGCCGGUCUGAGAGGAUGGCCGGCCAACGGGCACUGAGACACGGGCCCGACUCCUACGGGAGGCAGCAGCCAAGGAUCUUGGGCAUGGGGGAAACCCUGACCCAGCGACGCCGCGUGAGGGAUGAAGCCCUACGGGGUGUAAACUCUUUUGCGAGGGAAGAUAAUGACGGUACCUCGCGAAUAAGCCCCGGCUAAUCACGUGCAGCAGCCGCGGUGAGACGUGAGGGGCGAGCGUUACUCGGAAUCACUGGGCGUAAAGGACCGCAGGCGGCUAUGUAAGUCAAGUGUCAAAGCCCAAGGCUCAACCUUGGAAAGGCACUUAUACUGCAUAGCUAGGAGCCGGGGGAGGGAGAUGGAAUGCCCGGUGUAAGGGUAAAAUCGUAGAUAUCGGGUAGAACGCCGAAGGCGAAGGCAGUCUCCUAUCCCGGUCUCGACGCUCGGUGUGAAAGCUGGGGGAGCAAACAGGAUUAGAUACCCUGGUAGUCCCAGCCGUAAACGUGCGGACUUGGUAUCGGGCCAGUUUCUGGUUCGGUGCCGUAGCUAACGCGUUAAGUCCGCGCCUGGG